GCACCUACGGGGGGCAGCAGUAGGGAAUCUUCCACAAUGGGCGAAAGCCUGAUGGAGCAACGCCGCGUGGGUGAAGAAGGUCUUCGGAUCGUAAAACCCUGUUGUUAGAGAAGAAAGUGCGUGAGAGUAACUGUUCACGUUUCGACGGUAUCUAACCAGAAAGCCACGGCUAACUACGUGCCAGCAGCCGCGGUAAUACGUAGGUGGCAAGCGUUAUCCGGAUUUAUUGGGCGUAAAGGAAACGCAGGCUGGCUUUUAAAUCUGAUGUGAAAACCUUAGGCUUAACCGGAGAAGUGCAUUGGAAA
RNAcentral lists this ribosomal RNA (305 nucleotides) under uncultured bacterium. RNAcentral describes it as "bacterial SSU rRNA". It matches the Rfam family "Bacterial small subunit ribosomal RNA", at positions 335 to 632 of the family's 1533-position model. The record is from RNAcentral.